Molecule: ribosomal RNA, 274 nt
Filed under: uncultured bacterium
Lineage: Bacteria
Description: partial 16S ribosomal RNA
Rfam family: Bacterial small subunit ribosomal RNA
Source: RNAcentral
AUACGGAGGGUGCAAGCGUUAUUCGGAAUCACUGGGCGUAAAGGACGCGUAGGCGGGUUGGCAAGUCAGAUGUGAAAUCCUACAGCUUAACUGUAGAACUGCAUUUGAAACUGCUACCCUAGAGUAUGGGAGGGGGAGAUGGAAUUAGUGGUGUAGGGGUAAAAUCCGUAGAUAUCACUAGGAAUACCGAAAGCGAAGGCGAUCUCCUGGAACAUAACUGACGCUAAGGCGUGAAAGCGUGGGGAGCAAACAGGAUUAGAUACCCUAGUAGUCC